Non-coding RNA from Rattus norvegicus (Norway rat), 12464 nucleotides. NCBI's taxonomy places the organism in Eukaryota, Metazoa, Chordata, Mammalia, Rodentia, Muridae. The record is from RefSeq and is a predicted model, not a curated record.
AGGAUGCCUAUGAAAAUUAAAUCUCACCAAUAACUACCACCUGUUUCAUCUACGGUCACAGAAAGAUUUUCAUCAGGACCAAUACUUAAACUACAACUGUUACCUUCAAAGUUUUCAAAUAUAAUAAGGUUGCAUGACACAGCAUCAUUACACCCUAAGUGUCAGUCUGGAAAAAGGAUGUAGUUAAAAUAAGCUAUGCAGUUACCACCUCUUCUCCUGAACACUUCCUAGUCCACCUCUUAGUCCUAGUCCACCUAGUCCUCCACGUUGUUUUUUGCACACAUCUUUUAUAAUAUCAUCACAUGACUUCUCAAGAUUAACCAAGAAAUUAGAAUGAAUCAUGUUCACCUAUAAUAAAACACAUGUGGGUGUAUACACAGAUUCUGGGUUAUUUCUCCCCAGAGGCAAAAAGGCAACAAUGAAUUAAAUAAUGAAUGACUGAAAAGUACCUCAUAAAACUAACGUCAAUAACGUAGCAAAGUUUAUCAGCAUAACCUUUACAGAAGUACGAACAACUUUCAAUGAACUUGUAUAAGUUCUUUGCCAGGAAGAAAGACAUACACAAAGUAAACUAUAUUCAAUAUUUCUUUAUGCUUACUAAGUACCAAUUGUGAGAGACAGCAAUUUUGCCAGAAUAAAUCUUAAAUUUCUUGCAUUUGUGUAAUGAGAGGGAGAAAAAACAGUGAUUCUGAUGACAAGUCUUGGUAAGACCUAUGGAUGAGCAGAGAAGCCUUCUUCUUAAAUGUACUAGGAAAUUUAAAAGCUUCGAAGGGGCACUCUCCCAUUAAAAAUCAUCAGAAAUCCCUGAUUUCGUUAUAAAUCCUCAGAAAUCCUAAUUUCAUUAUAAAUCAUCAGAAAUCCCUAAUUUUAAAAGGAAAAGAGAGUCCCAUAACGCUUUGAAAAAAUGUGUAUUAGUUUCUAUAGUGGCAAAGGUAUUGAUUCAGCUUAACAUCAAUCUCCCAGUCAUAAAAUGUUCACACUGAGUUUGGAUCAUUAACUUUCAUUUUUAAGAAGUACACAAGACCCAAGUAAAGGGCUGACUGAAAAUUGCUCAACAACAACUUGCUGGUUCACAGAACGUGCUCCCUUUACACAGAAAUGUGAACAUACAAGAAAGUGCAACCUUAACCAGGAUGAGGACUAAACAUACUCUACUUUUCUUUAAGGGUAAAUCUAAUCCAUGUUUAUCAUCUUGCUCAAUAUAGAAAGCAAAGAAUUAUCAGUGGUUAUCACAGCUGCCAGACACAACCAAGUCACAGGUGACUAGUGGAGUUUAAAAUGUGGCAAUUGACACUGAACACUGUACCAAAAUAAAACACUCAUCACACUCUUACAAACAUGCAUAGAAGACUUCCCAAUUAAACAAAUACAAGGCUUCAAUCUUCGACAGAUCAACUUCUGCAGUGAAUCUUUUCAAUGGUUAGUGAACAUCUACAGGGGUUGGUGUAAUUCGUAUCCUCUUGUAGAAAACUGCUUGACUUUUAACAGCCGAAUGGAAUAAAAAACAAACAGAGGGUGGUAAAACUGUUCAGAUUCAGCUUGGAUAAAGCAGGCUGCAGCCACUGGCCUUACACUACUGCUUUGGAGAACUCAGAACUCGGCUUACUUUUAUGAUGCAGUGUGCUAAUAAACUUAGCUUCAAACUGAAGAACAGAAUAAUUUUAAUAGUACCCAAAGAUUCUCUAAAAUACAAAAUAGAAAAUGUGAGCUAGUCAUUACAUCAUAAAAAGACAUUUUGAAAACAAAUUAAUUUCAUCAUGAAAGGCUUUCAAUCACAAGUUGUUUCUAAAAAUAGCAAUGUUCAGAUGUAAGGGAGGAUAAUCUAGCAUGAAAAAGGCAAUUUCACCUUUAAUUUUUUUCAUUGUCUACACAACUCUUUACCUGCAGAAAACUGCGGGAAGGGGGAAGCAUCCCCCAAAACAUGCAACUUUAAUAACUGUUCACCUCUCCAAAGUGAUAGAUAAAAAGUUCCAAAUAGAUGCUUAUAAAAUAAAAUCCAUUCAAAUCUAAAAUAUUUAAUUUAUAAUGUUUUAAAGUUAACACCUCACUUUAAGACUAAAACACUAGGCUGAAUGUUACUUCUCAACAGAGACAAAAACUCGGGGGGGGGGGGGGCGACAGGAGAAUUCACCUGACUAGCAAUAGUUUACUUCCAAAGUUUAUCCUACCAUUAAAAAAAAAAAAAUCAAGCUAAUUAUUUUGAAAGACAAGAUAAUGCUGAGACUUUAAAUUGGUUGACAGCUCCUUUCUAAAGAAUCGCUUGUAAGGCUUUGAAUGAACACUAACUACACAGUAAAUUUGCUUACUAAAAUACAACUCGUAAAAUCGUUACAGAAGAUGAAUUAUGAAUCAGGAGUAACUUAACACCGGUGUUCAAAUUGGCAACGAGAACCUAAUAAUUUACCUUAGCUUGUCAAAUAGGGCUCGAGAGAAAGGGUUCUAACUAGGUCAAGUAUGCUCACAAGAAGGUGAGAGGAAAGGAGAGGGAAACCUGCCUUCCUCCACAGGCAAAAUUAAGUCAAAAGGGUCAUGCAUGAGAGUCAAUUCGAAGAGAUAGCUCAGAUCUACCAAGAGUGUGUUCGCAGCUAAGCGCUGGCUGCUGUGCUUUAGUCAGCCCCUCUUACAACAAUUCAAAGCCAGAGCUAUUUCCAGAUCUGGCACAAGUCUAGGGUAAAGUGUGGGGUCGCAUGGAGCAAGUCUGCCCAGCCACAACUUAACCAAAGGCCCUUGGGCCCGCUGUCACAGGAGGCUUCCCCGGGGUCCCCGCCAGCCACGCAGCUCCGCCCGCAGUCUCCCGGGUACCAGCCGGCUGGAUACUUGCCCUCACCCCACCCACAAGAUAGUCCAGAACUCUUCCCGCACUCCCGUUGCGUACUGCCAGAGCACCGGGCUGGAGCAGGGGUUAUCGGUCCGCCCGCUGCGCGCCACCGUGCCCCGCCAGGCCCGGAUGCACGAGCGCCGUGGAGCGCACGGGGCUCACACCACCGCGGGCACCGGCCGGUCACGUGGCCUCGGAGGGGCCGAGAUCCGCGUCCCGACUGUAGGAAGACGCCAUCAAAGAAACCGGCCGCGAUGAGCGCAUCCCGCAGGGGAAGGCCCACGGCCCGCACGGUCCGCGUGGGGGACCGGUGCGUUGCCAGGUGGGGGCCCGGAAGCACAGGCCUGAGGAGAAAUGAGACAUGGAAGAGACCCUAGGUCAACAAGCUGGGAUAAGCUUCCUCCCUCAGAAGUGUCUUCAGCCUGCCCCAGUCUGCUUUCUGUCUGGUGGAUUUCACUUCCUGUGCUUUCUGGCAAAUGCACUUCCUGUUUGGGAUGGAGAAACAUACCAGGGAACCUCCGGUGGUAUUUCAACUGCUUCAUGCUGCUUCUGUGGACUUGCACCGCAUCAGCAGAGCCUCGUGGUUUCUUCUGGAUCAAACAGCUGAUACUGAUUUGUGUUUGGUGAUUGCUGAGUGGACUGGACUACUGACAGUGCCCCCAAAGAACUACUUCUAAACAGGUCCAUAACCCCCAUUUCCUAUCCAUUUUUCUCUUUUCCUACCUCUGGUGGGUGGUAGGUUAGAAGAGAGGUUGAAUCAUUAAAGAACCAUAAUUAAAGAGGUUCUUGAAAAAUCUAACCCUACAAAUCUCAAAGGUGCCAGGUAUUCCAGAUGUGAACCUCUUUCCUGGAGUCCACCGCCCCCAGAUGUCCAUCAGUGUCUUUCUGGCUCCUCCUGGCUCCAGCUGACCUCAGAAGCUAAUGCUCUGAGCACAUCUCUAGCACGACAUUGAUGCUGUGCUUCAGCCUUUAAGGAGGAGAAAGCAUAGAAAGAUGCAAAAACUGGGACACUCAGUAUUAAAGAAGCCUGCUUUCAUCUCUGGGUCAGAAUAGAAGCAAAGCACCCGUAAUGACAAUAUAUGCCCAGCCUCAGAUUUUACUCUUGGAGUUUACAUUCAUGCCCAAAUUGCCCUUGUGAGAGAGGUGAAGACAGAAAAAUCCUGAUUCAAUUCAGCUCAGUUUUUGUGUGCAAAUACCCUUUCAUGGAAGACAUGUGUGCUUUUAUACUUUGGUCUCAUUCCCAAGUGUGGAGCUGUGCUUUAAAGCCUGGGGCAUGAGGAUGAGCCCAGGAUGUGUAAAUGUAUGAUUAAUUCAAAUAUCCUUGGCUAGUGAAUGCCUUUGGAGAUGACUGUCCUUGAGGUAAGUGACGAAAGAGUCAGAAUCCAUUGGGACUGGGAAAAGGCGAGGCAGAAAUGCUGCCACCAGAGUACAUCAGAUUGGAAGUCUAUUUUCCUGGAGACACACUGCUGUCUACUCUCUGGGACCCCAAGAAGAAACCCACCCGAAUUUGAACAAGCAAAUUUUCUUAUGUUUGCUGUGUCCAGAUGUGACCUCUUCCAGGACAGCUGUCAACUGUCCCAAGUUGACACCCAUGGCACCCAUGGCUCUCUUUCUCAUUCACAAAGGGUUGGUCUGUGUACAGCCUGGCCAGGAGCAUAGCAGUAUCUACCCACCACUCAUCUUAAAGAUAAGGAAAAUAGACUUGCUCUCUCUCCAGAUUCCUUACACUGUCAGCCUUUCAAGAACAAGGAGGAUGCCGGCCUGCAGUGGUGGUGGUGGUGGUGGUGGUGGUGGUGGUGGUGGUGGUGGUGGUGGUGGUGCAGCAUGCCUUUAAUCUCAACAGAGGCAGGUGGAUCUCUGUGAGUUUAAGGAUAGCCUGGUCUACAGAGCAAGUUCCAGGACAGCCAGAGCUAUGUAGAAAAUCCUUUUUCAAAAUAAAACAAAACACCAAAAAGAACAAAAAUAGGAGAUAUUAGACCCUUUGUCCAAAUAGAUGCAGUUAAGAUGAGGAGAGUAGGGGCCAGAACUCAGUGGAGGCUCAGCACAUGGCAUGGAAGGGUUUAGACAGAGCCAGAGUUGAUUGUAAAUUACAGGUCCAUUCUCUACAGCCAGGAAGCAGGAGUACUCUGGCGAGUGGAGCCAGGUCUUGUGCAUGCCUUUCAUGGUACCUUGGACACCUAGGGCUUCUAGUAUGCAAUUUGAACCAUGUACUGUCCCCAGAUGACAGCCUUUUUGGAUGCCAGGGCAGUGUUGUUCCCAGUCCCGGCUCCUGGAAACCCAGGACACAGUCAGGAACCUCCGGGGCUCAUGUGCUCUUUUAAACUCUCCAGAGAUGAGUGUACUUUGCCUGUCCCCAGCUUACUGUUGGACAUAUGGUCACAUUUCCCAACACAUGCCAGUUUCUAGGAGCAUAGAAAUUACUUUGCUAUCACGGUGCUCAAUUACGAAUAUAAAACAAUAUUUAAGAUCACAGCAUGAAUCUUGAAUGCUCCUCAAAGAUCCAUGUGUUAAACUCCUGCUCCAUAUAUUAAGUGAAAUAUUAAUCCAUUUUCAAAGGUGGUUAGAGUCAGCUUAGGGAUCCUUACAGAGAACCGAACACAAGCUACCUCCCAAUCUAUGCUAGCCUAGUCACCCCCAACCCAAACUAAACAUUCAGAUUAAAAAAUUAACAACCAUGCUUGCCUGUAAUGCCUGCGUGUGCCUGAUAAAAGUAAACAGGAUGCAAAGUGUUGGGGUGAACCCACAGGGUCUCUGUUAAGAAACAAACACAAGGAAGGCAAAAGAUAAGACCCAGACAACAUGCAAGAUAGUAUUCUCCUGAUGACUCAGUCAAUGAAGAGAGGGAAGAAGGGACCUACAUUAGGGCUAUAAAAACUGUGUUCUGUGUUCAAUCACUUUGACCUGAAGCCUUGCUUUGCAAAGCCAUAAAACAAGCUGCCUCCUUCCGUCUACUUGGAGUCUCCAGCGCUCUUACUGGGCAGUAAGCAUCCAAGUCUCACACAGUUCUAGCCAGUGGCACUACUGAACAUAACGGAUCCUUCAAGAGGUGUGACCUGGUGGAAGGAAGUGAGACAUUCUAGUUGUUUCCCACUGCUGUGCAGUCCACCAUGGUGUGUGGGGAGGGUCUAGGAGGGGUAAGGAUGGAAGCAGGAGCAUGAGGCGCCUGGUCACAUUGAAUUUCCAGUCAGGAAGAAGAGAGAAAUGAGUUCUGGUGUUGAGCUCCCAUUUAAUUCACCCUGGGACCCCAGGGCAUAGAAUGGAGACACCCACAUUUAGAGUGGAUCUUCCUACCUUACUUAACCCGGUCUAGAGAUUUCUUCACAGGCAUGAUAAGAAUUUUGUUUCCUACAUUAUUUAGAUCGUGUCAAAUUGACAAUAUCAUCCCAGUCAUGAGUUCAGACGAGGUGUCCUUCAAGACACUAGAUCUCCCCUCUUCCAUUCUAGAUCUCCUCUCUUCUCCUUUUGUCUUCAGGCUGCUACAACGUAAGUACCCCCCUCUGCCACAUGCUCUCAUUAGGCUAUGCUAUGCCUCUGCAAGCCCCAAAACAAUGGUGCCAACUAACUAUGGACUGAAACCACCCAGACUGAACCAAAGUUGAUUUCUCCUCUUUGAAUCUCAAGUUUUUUUCCAUAGUGAUAGAAAGUUGGUGGACAUACAUUCAUGGUCCCCUACUCUACUUCCUGUUGGUGGACACAUGUUCAUGGUCCCCCUACUCUACUUCCUGUUGGUGGACACAUGUUCAUGGUCCCCUGCUCUGCUUCCUGCCACUCCUUAUUUUCUGCCUUAGUAUCUGGACCCGUCCCAUGGGGGUGAGUAGGCUUGACCUCAGUGGUUGUUCUGAGCAUAGAAAGAGUUCCUUCCCGUGGCUGAAGAUUUGAGAAUCACCUAGUAACACAGUGGGUGUCUAGAGUAGGCCCAGGCACUUGAUGGACACUGCAGAGCCCAAGAAAGUCUCACUCACUUGACUCCUGCUUGUCCAGCAUGUCUUCUGAGUUCAUCAUGAGUUCUGUAGUUUCCUUUGCUCUCAUUCCAGGACCAGGACAGGUAAAGCAGGUCACCAGAGGAGGGGACAAAACGAAGGGUCUAAGAUUAGCACAUCAUGUUCAGCAUAGAUAUUGUAGCCAUUCCAAGCUGGGGCCUCUCCAUAUGGGAAUUCCCAUAACAAAGGGCUGGAAAGCCAAUCCUUCCUGAGAUGCAGAGAGCCCACAAUGGAUGUCAAUGCUAACUACUGCCAUGGUUCCUCAUUCCUAAGUCUUAGCUGGUUUUGUCCCAGAACAUCCAGCUGACCACUCCUAUCCUAAAGCAAAGAAAGAACUCCCUGGGCAUGAGUUCUCAAUAGGUGCUACAGUAUCUGGGCAUCAGGCUCUGGAAGAAAUCAAGCUUGCCUUUUCAUUUCUUUCCUUCUGGUUUUGGGCCUUCAACUCUGCUUUUGCAACUCUAUAGAAACUUAGAUAGAUCAGAUGCAGUAAGAAGAAAUACUGAGCAAGUGUGGCUUUGCAUAGCUCAGUCUUAGGGCUGUGUACAUUAGCUGUUUUGGAAAGCCCCCAACUGCCGUGCAUAUUAUUUAUUGAUCAAAGCCACUCUCUUUUCUCCUGCCCCAGAUAGGAACACAAAGACUGCAUUAUGUAGGCACUCGAAUGGUCUCCCGGCAGCAGCUCGUGUGCUGACAUUUGAUUUUAUGCUGGUGACAACAAGAUCAAGAAAGAGCUCAGAGUUUGCAAAUUUACAACAGAGGCUGUCUCAGAAGCAGGCUUCCCUCAUCAUACAGUGUGUGCUUAACUAAGCUUGUGGAAGAUGGGAUGUGUCUGGCUGUAAUUCCUUAAUCAGCGUGAUCAAGGCCUUAUGUCAUUCUGGUCCAGGUAAUUUGUCACGGGAAACCCAAUUGCUUUUCUUCCAUAAAUCAAAUUUGUACUUUGGAAAGGACGUAGUUUUCUCUAAAACUAACGUGACAUUUGGGGAAAGGACAACUCAGAGGAGAUGGGCUUCCCCAGGUAAUGCCAGUGUGGCAUGAUGCCUGGGGUCAGCAAAGAAGCAGCAGGGAAGCCAUCUAGGGGACGUCCACGCCAUAGAGGGCCUAACCAAUCUCAGUCAUCUGUCCCUGCCUUCUCUGGAUAUCUGUCUAAUCUGCAUGGCAGUCUGGUGGAUAUCGUGUCUCCAUGUCUUUCUUCCCUUUGCUAGUGCCUUCGUUGGACUGUUGCCCCACCAGUAGCAACACACAAGAUUCAUUAGUGCCAGAACUGCAUACAUAGGUGGUGAGUGGUUUAGUGAGUCUAUGGAGGGAGGGAAAGAGGAAGAGAAGGAAGGACAUUCAGUGAAUGGCUCUAAGAUAGACAGCAUCAAGGGAGUAAGGACAGCCAGGGAUGGCAACCAGCUCUGUGAUAUUCUUCUGAUGUUUUAAGUUCUAGUGACCAGCACAUUCAGUAUGUAGCCUUGUAAGACCUGGACCUUCCUUGGUGUUCCCAACUGAACAGUGGAUAAAGAUAGGCUGUGGAAAGGACUCAAGGCAUUAACACCAGUCUUAGAUGCAUGCCCAGCAUCUGUGACCAUCCCUGCUCUCAUUAACUAAGUGGUACAACCCCCAGCUGCUUGGCUUCUAGGGCAGAAGAAAAUUCCUAUGUGCUUUCCGAGGACAUAGAUCACAGAGCCUCUGGACAGAGGCCUAGGAAGCCAGGGAUAGAGUCAGCAUUUUUUUUUCAUAGUUUCAAAAUGUUUCCUCACCUUUGACCCUGGCUGACAAGAAACCUCAUGGAGCACUAUGGUCUUGGCGGGGGGUGAAUGAAGUUUUGAGGACUCCAUCCAGCUGCUUUUCCCAUUCUGGUGUGACUUUGGCUCACAAGUCCAAAGUCCUCAAACUGCAUGGCCAGCAUUGUCCCACAUAGCUUCCUCUGUGCUCACUCAAGUAUCCUUGCAGAAAAGGAUUGCUAAGCCCUUGCUGCUUGCCCAAAAAUAGUUCUCAACUUACUAUGUCCUGCUACAGCUCUGGGUUCAUCUCUUUGCUUUCCUACCCUGAGAUCCUACCCUGAGAAGGUGUUUGGUUUUCUGUUCUGCAAUCAGGUUUGUGUUUAGCAAAUAUAAGCUGAGAAACUACCAUAAUAUUGAAUAGCGCUGUAGGCAACAGUGGGUAUUUAACAUAGCUGUUCCCCUUCCUUCUGUCCUCCUCUUUCUCAGACCCAACUCCAGUGUGUUUCCUAAAUUCUAGACCUGGUGAACCUUCCUAUGGAUGGUUUCAGAAGCCAAACUUGACUACUCCAUGGAGAUCAGUAGGCAGCCUGACUGUGGUCAGAAAGGAGGGCUGUCCUCCUGUAUAGAGGGAAGGACAGAGGCAACAGUGGAUACAAGGCCGUGACCAGCAGCUAAAGUAAACAGGUUUUUGAUCAGACAUCCCUGAGGACUGUGACAGCCCUCUUGGGUUUGACAUGAACUGAUCUGAAGUAGGGGGAUAAGGAACCCCUACAUGGGAGGUCUUCCUACUUCAGAUCUUUAUUUCUUGGGCUGUGCCCUUAGAUAUUUUCUGUCUCAGAAUAAGAGGUACCAGCAUCUCCUUUACACAGAGGUAUGGGGUCAGAGGCAGCCUGAAAACAACUGCAAGGGCCGUGAAAUGGCCACAAGCCAUCACAUCUGUGCCAGGAAAUCCACAGUAAGUGGGGGCAGAGUGUCUUCCACCAGCUCACAGCCAGUUGCCCUAGCUUGGCUCUUCAUACCUGCACAUGUUCGCACCUUGUCACCUCAUAUCCUAGAAAACAUGGUCUCCUGGGAGCCAUGACACACCUGCAGACCGCUGGUCCAUGGCCAGGCAGGUUGGGAAGGGAUGGCCUUUUAUAUGUGCCCACCUGCACUGUGGAUGUCCUUGUAUCGAACCUGUCAUUAUGCUGACCCUGCAGAGUGUCUGCUCCACUGUCUUCAUUUGUAUGCUCAGUCAUCGUCUCAGACAGGACCACAGAAGUCUGCCUUCCCUAUCCCUCUCCUCUGGGUCCCUGUCCUUCUGUCCUGGGUCUGUCCCCUCAUUGCUAAUUCUGUCUAGCUCAUGUAUGGAAGUGUUGUGAUCUCUUAUCUGCCCCCCAAAGGAUCAUGAACUCAUUGGGCUCAUUUCAUGCCUCCCAUCCAUAUUCUGAGGGUCACGGUGACUUCUCUUCUGCGGCCAUCCUUCAUUGGCUCUGGGUUCUGAUUGCUUCAUACCUGGUGAGGCAGCUACUUCUCCAUCUCGUCUUCUGGACUCCUCAGCCUACCUCUCAUCAGGCCAUCUCAGGGCUUGGCUCUAGAUCAGGUCUCUUCUCUACCUUGCACCUCCAGAUCUGUGGUUUUGAGCCCCACCUCUGUGCUCCCCAUCCAUUCCAGCUCCAGCCCCACCUCUCUGUUCCAAGACCCACAGGGAUGUCUGCAGGGCACACUGGGUACAGAUGCCUGCACACCCUUCGACACUGUGUUCCUGGAAUGGAAUCCUUCCCUUCCCAGAUGAAGCCUACUCUAUGUCCCAGAUGUGCCAGCCAUACAUCCCUCUACCCUGAAAUUCUUGAAAUUCUUGUCUUUUACCUCCAUGUCCAGCCCAUCAGCCAUGUUGGUGACUUCAGAAAACACCUAGAAUGGAGCACAAGCAGCCUCUUUGUGUUUAUGGAGUUCAAUAUCCACAAAAUCCCAACUGGAUAGAUGCAAAAGAGACGUACCAGCCUCCAGGGAUGGCUGGGAGUCUGUGGUCGCUGUGGGACAAUGCCACGAGAAUGGACCAACGCCAAGACUUCACUGGCCCUGGCCUCUUCAUUGCCUGGGACAAACAGUAAAGCAAAAGAAAGGAUAUUGCUUUAUGAAGUUUUAAGCCUCUGUGUGAGCAGGGAGGAGAAGCAAAAGACCCUUGUGCAGCCCACUUCUCAUCUUUCACUCCCCUUCCCAGGCUGUUAUUCUACAAGGGCAGCUGUUUGGGCACACACCCAUCCACCCCCAGCGAUCCAAAUGAAGGGAUGUAUUUUCAAGAGAGUUUUGUGUCUUUGUUCCAGGAUAUAUGUGUAGCUCUCAAAAGGCAUCCAGAACAGAUGCUGGCAGGUCAUGUAGAUGACAGAGAAUGCUAUAGGUCCUACUGUGGGACCCAUGGCUGGGUCUAUAGUUAAGUCACUGAAAGGAUUGCCAUUCACACUCCCCUCACUGAUCUGCACAAAAGGGGCAAGAACGGGCUGUAACAGUGGAAUGUAAGGAAGCCAGGACUCACUCUGCAUGGUCACCUCAGGGAUCUGUGUUCAACUUGCCUCAGAGGUGCAUGCCCUCUGAACAGAGGCCUUGUCUCUAUGGCGGGUCCCACUUACCCAUCCUCAAUUCUGUUACAAGGAUCUUCUUAUUUUUAACUCUGGGCACCUGACAUCAAUCCUUAGGCCUAGCUUCAGGCUUCUUCUGAGUUCUCUGAAGUGAGUGAGCAGAGGACAAGAUUUCAGAUCCCACAAUAAAGGGUCGAUGAGUCUUCUUGUGCCAAUUCACUCAGAGCCUUGCCUGGGGCCUGAAUACAGAGAAAGCCUAUUAGAGAGAAGAGAGAUCCUAUGGUCCAGGUUGUGUUCAAGGGACCCACAUAUGUCAUGUACUACUGUCAGCCUUGGGACCGGAGUCUGUUGUUCCUGAAAGUCUCAAAGGCUUCUCUUUGUUACUAUACCACCUGUCAAGUGUACUACCAACUCCCCACGACCCCCAAAGGAGCUGCUCCAUCCAAAGCUCAACAGAAAGGAAAACCCAGUUAAAGAGCCACAUCUUGUGAUUGAUGUUACCCCAGUUUCUAUAGAUGUUGGUUGCUUUAUGUGGACCCAGAGUGGGUGGCCUGAUUGGUGGGCUUUCUUCACCCCAAUAAGAAACUCUCAAAUAAUAAGCAGUAACACUUUCCUAGUAGACAGACACACAGUGGGAAGGCAGAAGGCAUGAGUUCAGGUGGUCUGGAAACCAGAGCUUUCACAGCUGCUGACAGACAGAUGAGGUGGCAGGACACCUCAGCAGGACAGGUGGCGUGGUGACUACCGUCAGUGAUACACGCAUCUCUGCAGCCCCAGCCCUUUAACGUGAGAUCAGUACACCUACGGACAGACAUGUACACAGGAGCACUCAUGGUGGCAUAGCUCGUGAGCACGAAAGAUUGAGGGCAACUCAGAUAUAACCCCCCCUCCCCAGGUCUGCUUGAAGAAUACGGAGCUGACAGAGAAGAAUGAAGAGAGAGGUCUAUACACAUGCAGGUGGAAAGCCCUGGGACUUGAAGGGAAGGAGUAAGCUCAAAACUACGCAGAAAGUGGGGGAUAAUAAUGCAUUAGCAUCUGCUUGCAUUUAUGUGACAAGAUAGAAAGGCAAGCAUUGAGGACCAAGGGUGACAAAGGAAUGGGGGAGUUGCACAGAUCGGGGGUCCUUGGAAGUGAGGCCUCUUGCCGCAUGCAUCUUUCAACUCCCUAUGAGAAUUUGGACAAUGUGAAGUAACAUCUAGGUCAGCAGAAGGCUAGAGAUUAGACAACUCCUGAGGUCCUGGUCGUGUGUCCUCUGCUGACUGUCUUUGAAGGCUUGUUCUCAUGCUGGCUCCUCCAGAAGCUUCUAAUCAGAGCGAGCUGUGGUCCUAGCCUCUAACCCAGAGUCUGCACGUUUACUACAGUGUCUGUUUCACACAGCUUAUAUAACAGUCAUUAACCUGCUUGU